UACGGAGGGGGGCUAGCGUUGUUCGGAAUUACUGGGCGUAAAGCGCACGUAGGCGGCUUUGCAAGUUAGAGGUGAAAGCCCGGAGCUCAACUCCGGAAUUGCCUUUAAAACUGCAUCGCUAGAAUUGUGGAGAGGUGAGUGGAAUUCCGAGUGUAGAGGUGAAAUUCGUAGAUAUUCGGAAGAACACCAGUGGCGAAGGCGACUCACUGGACACAUAUUGACGCUGAGGUGCGAAAGCGUGGGGAGCAAACGGG
Molecule: ribosomal RNA, 254 nt
Filed under: uncultured bacterium
Lineage: Bacteria
Description: partial 16S ribosomal RNA
Rfam family: Bacterial small subunit ribosomal RNA
Source: RNAcentral